UACGGAGGGGGCUAGCGUUGUUCGGAAUUACUGGGCGUAAAGCGCACGUAGGCGGCCUUGUAAGUUAGAGGUGAAAGCCCAGGGCUCAACCCUGGAAUUGCCUUUAAGACUGCAUCGCUUGAACACGGGAGAGGUGAGUGGAAUUCCGAGUGUAGAGGUGAAAUUCGUAGAUAUUCGGAAGAACACCAGUGGCGAAGGCGGCUUCCUGGACCGGUUCUGACACUGAGGAGCGAAAGCGUGGGGAGCGAUCCGG
Molecule: ribosomal RNA, 253 nt
Filed under: uncultured bacterium
Lineage: Bacteria
Description: partial 16S ribosomal RNA
Rfam family: Bacterial small subunit ribosomal RNA
Source: RNAcentral